GAGGCAUCCAUAGCAUCAAAGGACCAAGAUGGGCUCAGGGUGCCAACCAAGCCAAGAAGAUAAAGUUCUAUAGAACCUGAAUGGAACAUCCAGCAGCAGCAACUAGCAGCAAGCAAUACAGAGGCUGGGUCAGAUCUGUAUCUUCAGCGAUGUGCCUGAGGCCCACAUUAAACCUUAGUCCCAUACUUCUGCUCUAGAAAUCCCAGCUGAAAGAGCUGAAAGUGAGAAGAUACAUCCCUCCUCAAGAAUAGGCCAAAAGCUCUUUCUGAAUCUCAUCCUCAGAGAGAUCUUAGAAAAGGAAGACCAUCUCCUUGGAAUGUUUCAAGUCAGAAGAUUACACUGUGAGAGGGAAAAAGGAAUGUUUCUAUCACUGACAAGCUAAGUGAGUCUACAUCCUAUCUACAGGGUAGGAAUACUAAACACAAUUAGGAGAUCAUAAAACAACCAAGUAUUAGUUCAUUCAUUCACUCAUUCUUCUGUAAUGCACUGUCUUUGUUGUAUUAGCAUGGCAAAUCCAAAGUAUAUAUAAUAUGUGUAAGUGGCUGUCAGACUCAAUUUGCUUUUACUAAUAUACUAAAAUGGCAGUGCUUUUUAUAACUUUCUCAGAGUAUCAAGAUGUUUGACUAUAUUUACUUAGAGAUACACAGUGUUGCUUUACCAUAAGAGCUAGUAAAACCCUGCAAAAGGGAGUGAAUGUAAGACUUUCAGUUGUCAUGCAUGCCAUGGCCGGAAGUAAUCCAGGGUGGCAGCACACGAAGAAGAGAACUUCAUAACUGGAAUCUCCCACCAGCACAGAGAAGACUGUGUAAAAUUCUGUAGAGCCUGGUAAAUGGAUAUGAGCCACACAGAAUCUGAUUUGAUGAGAUUUUCAAUUUGUGAUUUGAUAUUUGUUAUAUUAUAUUUUUCUAUUACGGUGUCUCUUAUGAAUUUGUACCGUGUUUUCUUGCAAGGAAAGAAACUCCAAAAUGACCCAGUGGAUUCUAUUUUCCAGCACAGACCAGUGGAGGAAAAUAAAAAUCAAAACUGAAUGUGAAAACUCCUUUAAAAAGCAACUUAGAUUUCCAAACACUUAAACUGUAGUUCUUACUCAAAAUAUUUAACCAAUUAUACGUCAUUAUCAUGGAUUAAUUUAAAUAAAUUCAAACAGAUAGGUAAAAAUGUGAUUUGAAUAUAUCACAGCUACAUAUUAGAAUGUUUAGUGCCCAGCAAGUUACUUUUUACAUUACACUUUGAGGUUACAUUAUGGGUUGAGAUGAAAUGUUACAGUAUCCAGGCUUUUGCAUUACUCAUCCUCCCAACCUAAUACAGAUCUUUGUCUUAUAAAAGCCAAAUUAUCAGAAAGGUCAAGGGUGAAGAAGUAAGAGCACACGUAGAAAAGAAGGUUACAAAUGGAAUGGAGCUCUGUGUACCCUACUUAGCACUGCAGCAAAGGGGCUGCCAUUUGCCAAGAUAUUUCAUUCUCACAAACAUUUUAGAUAGAGUUUAGUUGAUAAGUUUAUCUUUAUAUCUGGGUGAUAAAGUUUUGUCCAAUGUAUCUUCUGUUCAUAGUACAGUCUACCCUGAUUUGACAUUAUAGCCAUUUUUGAAACAUACUAUUGUAACCACAAAACUGAGUCUGAUCCAACCACAACAACUCAGCCUCAGCCAGGAGCACACCUAAACACAUCUAGAGACUGCCAUAUCCAGGGAUCCAUCCGAUAAUCAGCCUCCAAACGCUGACACCAUUGCAUACACUAGCAAGAUUUUGCUGAAAGGACCCUGAUAUACCUGUCUCUUGUGAGCUUAUGCCAGGGCCUGGCAAACACAGAAGUGGAUGCUCACAGUCAGCUAUUGGAUGGAACACAGGGCCCCCAAUGGAGGAGCUAAAGAAAGUACCCAAGGAGCUAAAGAAGUCUGCAACCCUAUAGGUGGAACAACAAUAUGAACUAACCAGUACUCCCCAGAGCUCAUGUCUCUAGCUGCAUAUGUAUCAGAAGAUGGCCUAGUCGGCCAUCAUUGGAAAGAGAGGCCCAUUGGUCUUGCAAACUUUAUAUGCCUCAAUACAGUGGAACGCCAGGGACAAGAAGUGGGAGUGGGUGAGAAGGGGAGGUGUGGGGGGGUAUGUGGGACUUUUGGGAUAGCAUUGGAAAUGUAAAUGAAGAAAAUACCUAAUAAAUUGUUAAAAAAAGAAGGUAAAUACCAAUUAAGUUAAAUUUGCUAGAUUGAAAUGUAAAGUUAUUCAUAAAGAUAUCAUUCUCAGAACAAUGGCUCCCUGGUUAGGAGUGCUUGCUGCUCUUUAGAGCAGGAGUUUGCUUCAAGUAUGGUGGCUGAAAGCUGACUGUGAUUUCAGUUCAAGUGAUUGUACACCCUUUCACAUGUAAUUAAACAGAAAAUAAAAUAACUGUAAAAAUACUAACCUCAAAAAAAAAAAGAUUGAACUUAAAUAAAUGCUCAAUAUUUCC
Molecule: long non-coding RNA, 2441 nt
Filed under: Mus musculus (house mouse)
Lineage: Eukaryota; Metazoa; Chordata; Mammalia; Rodentia; Muridae
Description: long non-coding RNA chr5:50838317-50840758
Source: RNAcentral